This 468-nucleotide ribosomal RNA is filed under the name uncultured bacterium. RNAcentral describes it as "partial 16S ribosomal RNA". It matches the Rfam family "Bacterial small subunit ribosomal RNA", at positions 28 to 507 of the family's 1533-position model. The record is from RNAcentral.
GACGAACGCUGGCGGCGUGCUUAACACAUGCAAGUCGAACGGAAAGGCCCUGCUUUUGUGGGGUGCUCGAGUGGCGAACGGGUGAGUAACACGUGAGUAACCUGCCCUUGACUUUGGGAUAACUUCAGGAAACUGGGGCUAAUACCGGAUAGGAGCUCCUGAUGCAUGGUGGGGGUUGGAAAGUUUCGGCGGUUGGGGAUGGACUCGCGGCUUAUCAGCUUGUUGGUGGGGUAGUGGCUUACCAAGGCUUUGACGGGUAGCCGGCCUGAGAGGGUGACCGGCCACAUUGGGACUGCGAUACGGCCCAGACUCCUACGGGAGGCAGCAGUGGGGAAUAUUGCACAAUGGGCGGAAGCCUGAUGCAGCAACGCCGCGUGCGGGAUGACGGCCUUCGGGUUGUAAACCGCUUUCGCCUGUGACGAAGCGUGAGUGACGGUAAUGGGUAAAGAAGCACCGGCUAACUACGUG